Molecule: long non-coding RNA, 426 nt
Filed under: Jatropha curcas
Lineage: Eukaryota; Viridiplantae; Streptophyta; Magnoliopsida; Malpighiales; Euphorbiaceae
Description: long non-coding RNA (JCUR_LNC003165)
Source: RNAcentral
GGCCAUUGGCAGUUGAUGAUUCCGAUAGAGGCCAUUUUCCCCUAAUAUUAGUAACUGUCCGAUUAUCCGCCCUCAUCCAAGUUCUAUAAGCAAAUGAAUUCCUUGGAAAACCCAGAUUAUCAAACAAGAGUUUACAGAAAUGAUCCGAAUGACCAACCAUACCACAAAAAAAGUAGAAUGUAGAAUGACUCUUAUACUUGAACGUAAUGCAUAGCCAAUCACCGCUUGGUUUCUUGAUUUGCAUUCGCCUUUAUAGAGGCUUGCGGAUAUCAAUACUGACUCUAAUCCUCAUGUAUUCCCUCCACAUGCCGUUAAAGUUUUCUGGGUCAGCCAUAAUAAAUGUACUAAUAAAAUUUCCAACUUCCCUUUCAAGCUUCUCCAACAUAUACCCUAUAGGAAAGUUUUGUAUUUAAACCCAAAAAAUCU